CGCAUUUAUUAGAACAAAACCAAUCGGGUUCGUCCCGUCUUUGGUGGAUCUGAAUAACUCAGCUGAUCGCAUGGUCUCGCACCGGCGACGUAUCUUCCAAGUGUCUGCCUUAUCAACUUUUGAUGGUAGUUUAUGCGACUACCAUGGUUGUAACGGGUAACGGAGAAUAAGGGUUCGACUCCGGAGAGGGAGCCUGAGAAACGGCUACCACAUCCAAGGAAGGCAGCAGGCGCGCAAAUUACCCAAUCUCGGAACGAGGAGGUAGUGACGAAAAAUAACGAGACGGUUCUCUAUGAGGCCCGUUAUCGGAAUGAGUACAAUUCAAACCUUUUAACGAGGAUCUACGAGAGGGCAAGUCUGGUGCCAGCAGCCGCGGUAAUUCCAGCUCUCGAAGUGUAUAUCAUUGUUGUUGCGGUUAAAAAGCUCGUAGUUGGAUCUGCGCCUUUGGAGUCGGUCCUCCCMAGUGGAGCGCACUGGCGUCCUGGGCUACAUUGGCUGGUUUUCCCUUGGUGUCCUUCACCGGAUGCCUUGGGUGACUAGCACGUUUACUUUGAAAAAAUUAGAGUGCUCAAAACAGGCUUAUGCCUGAAUACUGGUGCAUGGAAUAAUGGAAUAGGACCUUGGUUCUAUUUUGUUGGUUUUCGGAAUGCGAUGUAAUGAUUAAGAGGUACACUGCGGGUCUCAAAGAUUAAACUGCUUGUCUCAAAGAUUAAGCCCCUCUGCGACGGCGAUCAGAUACACUGCUUGUCUCAAAG
This 755-nucleotide ribosomal RNA is filed under the name Odontophora setosa. RNAcentral's name for it is "SSU rRNA". It matches the Rfam family "Eukaryotic small subunit ribosomal RNA", at positions 204 to 948 of the family's 1831-position model. The record is from RNAcentral. Lineage: Eukaryota; Metazoa; Nematoda; Chromadorea; Araeolaimida; Axonolaimidae.